This 466-nucleotide ribosomal RNA is filed under the name uncultured bacterium. Its description in RNAcentral is "partial 16S ribosomal RNA". It matches the Rfam family "Bacterial small subunit ribosomal RNA", at positions 28 to 507 of the family's 1533-position model. The record is from RNAcentral.
GAUGAACGCUGGCGGCGUGCUUAACACAUGCAAGUCGAACGGAAAGGCUCCUGCUUGCAGGGGUACUCGAGUGGCGAACGGGUGAGUAACACGUGGGUGAUCUGCCCUGCACUUCGGGAUAAGCCUGGGAAACUGUGUCUAAUACCGGAUAGGACGAUGUUUUGGAUGCCAUUUUGGAAAGUUUUUUCGGUGUGGGAUGAGCUCGCGGCCUAUCAGCUUGUUGGUGGGGUAAUGGCCUACCAAGGCGUCGACGGGUAGCCGGACUGAGAGGGUGUACGGCCCCAGUGGGACAGAGAAGCGGGCAGGACGCAUACGGGAGGAAGGAGUGGGGAAUAGUGCAAAAUGGGCGGAAGGCUGAAGGAGCGAUGCCGGGUGGGAGAUGACGGCCUUAGGGGUGGAAAGACUUUGCGCGAGGGAAGAAGAGCAAGUGACGGUACCUGAAGAAGAAGCAACGGCUAACUACGUG